This 793-nucleotide long non-coding RNA is filed under the name Gallus gallus (chicken). RNAcentral's name for it is "lncRNA (ENSGALG00010000179.1)". Lineage: Eukaryota; Metazoa; Chordata; Aves; Galliformes; Phasianidae. The record is from RNAcentral.
UAGGGACACAUAGAGACACAUAGAGAGGCAUUGGGACACAUAGGGACCCAUAGGAACACAUAGGGACCCAUAGGGACACAUAGGGACCCAUAGAUGUCCAUAGGGACCCAUAGGGACCCACAGAGAGGCAUUGGGACCCAUAGGGACACAUUGGGACCCAUAGGGACACAUAGAUGUCCAUAGGGACCCAUAGGGACACAUAGAGAGGCAUUGGGACCCAUAGGGACACAUAGGGACACAUAGGGACACAUAGCGACGCCUAUGGGGCACACAGCGCUGACGGGACCCAUAGCGACCCAUAGCGACCCAUAGGGACCCACAGAGACCCAUAGCGACCCCAUAGGGACCCACAAGCCCCCAUAGCGACCCAUAGAGACCCCAUAGUGACCCCAUAGGGACCCACAAGCCCCCAUAGUGACCCAUAGAGACCCCAUAGUGACCCAUAGCAACCCCAUAGGGACCCACAGAGACCCAUAUCCCCCCAGAGCGACCCAUAGCGGCCUCAUAGGGAGCCACAGAGACCCAUAGCGACACAGAGAUCCCAUAGAGACCCAUAGCGACCCCAUAGAGAACCCUAGCCCCCCUAUAGCGACCCAUAGAGACCCCAUAGCAACCCACAGCAACCCCAUAGGGACCCACAGAGACCCAUAGCGACCCCAUAGCGACCCCCAGCCCCCCUCCCGCCCCACGCACCAUGAGCUCCUCGUUAAUGAUCAUCUUGCUAAUGAUGCUGUGCACCGUGGGCAGGUCCAGCUGGAACAUGGCCGCCAGGAUCUCCAUGCUGUGGGGCAGG